RNAcentral lists this non-coding RNA (271 nucleotides) under Stegodyphus mimosarum. Its description in RNAcentral is "eukaryotic small subunit ribosomal RNA". It matches the Rfam family "Eukaryotic small subunit ribosomal RNA", at positions 57 to 324 of the family's 1831-position model. Lineage: Eukaryota; Metazoa; Arthropoda; Arachnida; Araneae; Eresidae. The record is from Rfam by way of RNAcentral.
GUUUAAGUAUGGGCCAUAUUAAGGUGAAACCGCAAAUGACUCAUUAAAUCAGUUAUGGUUCUUUGGAUCGUACCUAACUACUGGAACAACUGUGACUAUUUUAGAGCUAAUACAUGCAGCAGAGCUGCAACCCUCUGGGGACGAGUGCUUUUGUUAGACCAACACCAAUCAGGGUUCAUGUCUGUAAUAUGUGGUAACUCUGAGAUGAUUACAAGGGCUCGUCCCAGUGCUACUGGUAGGAUCAACUAAUUAGUUUUUUAUGUUCACAGAG